UUCGUUUUAGGUUUUAGGUUUUUAGACCUUUAAAGUUUCGGUUAUUAGCUUAUGUAUUUUCGUUUUGCGAUUUUAGGUUUAGACAAUUAAAACUUCUCUAGCAACUUAGGCGAGUUUAGCUUAAGCGAUAAUCAACUUUUUCUAGCAACCUAAACGAGUCAAACAAUCGAGCAAACAAGCAAUCGGAUCAAACAAGCAAUCAAAUCAUACAAGCAAAGCAAUCACUUAAUCAAUCAUCAUUCGUUUUAGGGUUUCUCUUUGCUUAACUUUCAAGUUCAAUUGUUGGUUCUUUAGCUUUAGGGUUUUGAUGUUACCUUUCACCUUAUGGGGUUGUAUGGACUAGAACCGGGAGCUAAAGACCUCGGUAACUCACGCUGCUGCAACGAACCGCAAACAGUACCACGAUAAACAGUACCGCGAUGAACAGUACCGCGAUGAACAGUACCGCGAUGAACAGUGCCGCGAUGAACAGUGUCGGCGAUGAACAGUGUCGGCAAUGAACAGUACGGCGAUGAACAGUACCGAGAUGAACAGUGUCGGCGAUGAACAGUGCCACGAUUUUUAGGGUUAGGGUUUUAGGGUUUUCGUUAAGAGCAAGUCGUGCUGAUAACGUGUUGUAAACUGUGUUGUUCUAUUGAUUAAUGAAUGAGAUUUCGAUACAUAUAUAUACAUGAUGAGGGGAGACAAAUCCCCAUUGGGCUAGUAAACCCUAAAGCCCAAAAGCCCACUAAGUACAAUAUAGGCCGUCAUAAGGAGAAUCUUCAAGAACAUGGGCAUGGGCCUUCUAGGACAUGGACAUGGGCCUUCUAGAAUAUGC
RNAcentral lists this long non-coding RNA (817 nucleotides) under Arabidopsis lyrata. RNAcentral describes it as "long non-coding RNA (ALYR_LNC001801)". The record is from RNAcentral. Lineage: Eukaryota; Viridiplantae; Streptophyta; Magnoliopsida; Brassicales; Brassicaceae.